GGUUGAACUUGAGAUGUUCGAGGUUGGGCAAGAAGAGAAAGGAUGGGGUAGAUGGGGAUAUCGGUGAGAGCGUGUGGAAAAAAAAAAAUGAAAGUUUAAUGUCAAAUAGCUGACAGGUUGUGAAUGGCUUGUGUUUGAUCAUGAAAGAUCAUGAAAGAAACACCAUGUUUUGUAUUGCUACAUUGGCUGGUGAUCAAAAAAGUUAAUUAAGAACCCUGAUCAUAACACCUUUGCCAUGAUUGAUUCAACAUUCCCACUUCCUUUUUUGUCUGCUUAGACUGAAAAGUCUAGACUCUUGGAUGUUGACCUCAGACCACAAAGGGAAAGCACCGUCUGGACUGCAGGGAGAAAACAAAACAACAGCUCAGCUGGUCAGAUGACAGAGAAAAAUUAUGAGAUGAACCAGAAUUUUGUCUGUCCUCCCAGAUCUGAGUAACCAACAUAAACUCUUAGCUGUUGAGUUUGAGGUUUCCAGAAACAGCUGGAUGUUGAAUGUUUCCAGCUGUGUGCUUUUCUUGGUGGUUUGAGCAAGAUGGUUUGAGGUAUUUUGAGGUAGAGAUGAUGGUCAGCACCUCUAAGUAGAGAGAGCAUGACGUGUUUCAGGUCCUAAUAGUAACAUUGCAAGUCCUGGGAUGUCAGCAUUUUGCAUAAUGCACAGUGCAGUUGCCAUGUUGAGCCCUGGUCUGAAGCCCCACUUAAAGUCAUGUGUUUUUGGUUGGGAUCAGGGAAUCAGAUCAGGAAAAGAUGCGAACAGUAAGUUUCAUUCACAGCCUGUAAGAUAAUGGACAGAGCAAAGGCAUGCAGCUGUAGCUUUGAGUUAGGCCACCACUCCUUAGGCUCCAGUUCACUUUGAAAAUGCUGAAGCUUCUCUCAUGUAUCGUCAUCGUACAUAAAGGACUGUGAUUGUGCUGAUACAUCUGCCACUGAUUGGAAAACAUAUAUAGCACUCUAUAUAUAACAUAUAGAGUGACAAUGAACAUGAGUUUGCUAAUGGACUUGACAAUGCCAGGCUAGGUUUUGGUUUCUUAUGAGGACGCCUUCUGCACACCUCCUUUGAGAGUUUUCUGGAAGAAGACUGUAGUGGAGAGAGAGAGCUUGCUGGAAGCGAUCGUACUUCACCUGGACUUGUAAUGCUUCUGGAUCCCCAAAGAGGAGCUGGGAAUAUUUGAUGUCUGGGAAGUCUGGGCUGACUUGCUUGGCCUUGCUUAUCUUGGACCUGGGUCAGGAGAAAUCAGCGCCUCAGAUAUGAGGAGGCCUCUGCAGAUAAUUUAGCUCUUCAACCUUAAAUUUCAAGCUGUGAAGAAACCCUUCAAGUCCCCUCCUGAUAUACUGGGUGUGUUUUUUACUAUAUAAAACCCCAUUAUUGAGUGUAUUGAGUAAAAUAAUAGUACAAGGAUUUUUGCUGUGAAUGAGCUGUUUGAGUUGGUCAUAGUUUUAAAAGCACAUGAUUUGUUGUAGGGUUAAGUUGCUCAUAAAGAAAUCUGUUAAUUAUCUAAGAAGAUAAUUUGUGUGAGAACUCAGAUAGAGAAACUUGAUUACUCUCUGCUCUCUUUCUUUGUCUUUGUGUAUUUGGUUCCUCCUCCUCCUCCUCUCACUCCUGACUUUCAUUUUUCCCUGGUCUUUUGUAACGGCUAUCCUCACCUCAGAGUGCUGCGGCUGCUUUUAAUUACAGCAUCUGUGUUGACAAGGAGGAACAAAGAUGUUAUUAAUGUGAAGUCCAAAGUGGGGUAGAUCCCAGGGCACAAACAUCCCUCAUGUGUGUUUUUCCUGUAACUAAUGUACAGUAGAAACUUGGCUGUGGAUCAGUUUGAGACACAGUGACAUAAUAAUGUGCAUAUGAAUGAACCCAGGUCUCCCAGAGCCCUUGUUUCUUGUAUGUUGUAUAUCCCCUGUACCUUGCUUGUGUUUGUUUUGUUGAGAGACUGCUAAAAGAAGAUCAUUUACUCUGUCUGUGGAAGUUCUGCAGAUAAUUUGUUCUUUGGGUUUCUGACUGAAGAAUUCAGAUAAUAUUUAAGUCAUCAUUGAGCUGUCAGGUCAUCCAUAGUAAAAAUAUUCUUGUGGUUUACCCGGCUGUGUUUUGAUUUUUCAUGGUGAUAUGUUUAUAAUAGUAGAUUUGCUUGGUAAGAAAAUGAACUGUUUUUGCAUUGAGGCUGAGAAAAGCAUCUUUAGGAAGAAAUAAAAUGUCAAGACUCUUAGCAACACGCUGAAGUCUCGGAAGCCAGGUGCAUUGUUGUAAUCUAACCCUACUUGAUUAUGCUUUUAAAAUAUUUAUUUAUUGGGAAGAAAAUCAUGUAAAAAUGUACUUAAUCUAUUUUUUAGCAAUGCCUGAAUGUGUGAAAUUUGUGAGGAAGUAUUGUUUGUAUAAGGAGAUAAGGGCUGCCAUGAUAUCAGAUUUUCACCUCACAGUUAUCAUGGCCCUAAGAUAUCCUGGUAAUGAUAAUAUAUGACAAUAUCAUGGAAAAGUUGAGAAUCACGGCUCAGCUUCGCUCCCGAAUGGCAGGUGGAUCAAAUACGCAAGCAUUUUAAUCAAUGUGUGUAAUUCCAUAGAAUUCGUGUGGCGUCCGGCUCCGCUGCAGAUCAGCUCUGGCUCCGGAUCAGAUAUUGCUGCCAGACGUCAAAGUACUGCGCAUCACUUGAGUGCAGUGCAGCACAAGCAGCAGUGGAACUUGUAUGUGGUUACAGAGUAAAAUAUCUGGUUGAUUUUCAAAAUAAAAUAAAGUCAAUACAUUGAUCUGUUCUUAGCUUGAUAAUAAGAGAGGCCAGGGUUGUGGUAUGUGGGUGUUUAUAUACACCGCCAUUUAUAUACACAGAUCGGUGGAUCUCAUUCUAUGACUCCUGGGGAAACGUGAGAGCUCGUGAGAAAUCGUGAGAUCUCGUCCAGACCUGCGAGAAUUAUCGGUAAUCUCGAAACGCUUCUCCUCCGAUGGCGGCAGUGCAUCUGAUCCAGUGGGUGCUGUAUGCUUGCGGAUCUGAUCCAUCUGCUGGUCCAGAGCGGAGCAGAGCCGUUCCGUAUCCCAUGGGAUUCCCGGGUCAAACAACACAUUCAUUCAAACUGAAGAAAGGCAAGACAAAAGUGGAGAGACACAUAACUUUACAGUAGUGGUUAUCAUACAAAUCAAAAUCAGUAUUCAUGGUUUUCUUGGCUAGUACUUUGUUUUAAAAAGAUUUUUAAUGAAUUGUAUGAACAUUAUGGGGAUAUUGGCCUUGAGAGUGCAGAUGCCAAGAUAAUUCUGAUUACUAAAAAAUUAUUUCAAUCAUCAUCUUUACAAUUAAAGGUUAAAAUUCACGAUUUGCCCACAUCACCAUAAAUUAUUUUAUCCUUUUGAUGUUUUUAAUAUCUUGCACAUAUGUUGCUUUACUCCCUGCAUGGCCAACUACGUAUACUUCUUCUGGUAGAUCACAAGUUAUAAAACUGAGCGACGACAGUUUAAUGAGUGGUUAGACAGUUCAAAUGUUUAGCUGAAUAGUAACCUGAAGAUGUAAGAGCUCCAUUGUUUUUGGAUCGAUGUCUGAUACUUUCUCUCAGCCUAUCCUCUGUUGAAAGACUUGUGGCCUAGUGUCAGGACCACUACAAUGAAGUCAUGGUAUAGCUGUAAGCAAAUUUGAAGCUAGAUAUCAGUAUUUCAAUUUUCUGAAAAGACGGUUACCAUCAAGACUUGUGUAAUGCCACAGCCCUCAGAGAAAUCACAGAUAGUAUUUCACUUAGUAAACACACUUUUUUACACAUCAGCAAAGAAAAAGAGACUUAUAAAUACAAAACACACCAUUAAAGAGAUUUACAGCUGCUCUUUAGUGUGAAAUUGUUCAAAUGUGAUCAAUAAGUUGCAAUGUGGAGAGGCGUUCAACAUGUAUGAUAAAAUGUCAUGUGUUUAUUUCGCGUUUCAUUUUCUAAAUAAUAGAUCCAUGAUCGAAAAAGCUGUAAACAUCCAUCACAGAUGUCUUUCAUGGCCAAGAAACCCUUUUUUUUAAGCAUUAUUUUUGCAUGCUGUAAAUCUCGGCCGCUCAGAUUUUCAUUCAGCUGUCUGCAGGAGGAUAAAAGCCUCUUUCUUGCAGCUACAGCACAUUUGCCCUUCACAGGAAAAAUGCUUUAAAAUGAAUUUGCCUGUGAUAAAUCCUGUCCUGUGUUGUCUGUUGCAGAAAAACACAAGGUAUUUUCUAAAAUUUCAUUCUCCAGCUCAUGAUAUCUCAGUCAGCAUUACAAACUUCAACCAAAAAGAAACAAGAGGCAUGACACUGUAAUGAUCUGUGUGUGUUUGAGUGUGUGUGUGUGUGUGUGUGUGUGUGUGUGUGUGAGUUUCCUCCACCGUGUCCUUCCCUCCUCUGCCCCCUCCCCUCCUCUCUCUGGUGGAUGGUCCUUGUUUAGACUUUGUUAUUGUUUCUUUAUGUAACGCUGCUGAGCCAGAGAAAGAAUGGGCCCGGUGUACACCACAACAAUGCUGUGAUGGAUGAGUGUGGCUGCUCUAAUUAUAUGAGGACCAACAGGUAACCGAGCGCACAGACAGAGAGCGGCGGCCUGCUGGGGGAUGAUAGUGCAGAUCUGUUCGCCUCUGUUUUGUUUCGUUUUGUUCUGCUGCGAGGGCCGGCACGGGCGCCGAUACUGUGGCGAACACACAUACACAAAAGAAGGCAUUGAGAGUUGCUGAGAGUCGCAGCAUGCAGACACACACAUACACACAUUUGCUUGUGUGUCAUUGCUAAAGUAUACAGCAAAGGACGUGUUUGCACUCUGUUAAACACUUCCUCGUGCAGCUCGCUUUGCAUUCUGCUUAGGAAAUAUUGUUCCUGAUAAACAGUCCUGCCAAUAAAGUGAGUGAAUUGACUGUGAGAACAGAGGAAAGACGCCACUUCAAGGUUUUCCCACUUGAGCGUAUUACAGAAUUAUUGUCGCAGACGAUAGCUAACAGAGACAGACAGAUUGAGGUCGUUACACAAGAGAGGCAGAUGAGAGAGAGAAACAGAAACAAGAUGAAAAGGCAAUGUGGCGGGGGGUGCAUCCCUGCUGUUUCAAUGCUGUGUCGCAGUGAGAAAAAAAAAAAGAGGACGACAGGAAGAAGAGAAAGGGGAAUCUUGCGAGAGGAAAGAGGGAGUGAAGGGUGGGAUUCAGAGGAGUGAGACAAACUGCUUUAAAUGUUUGGGACCCAAAAGUUGUAGCGAGAAGACUGGGGCAAACCGAGAAAAAACGGUGUAAGAAAAAUGCAGAGGGAAGAGAUGUGAAGUGGUUUGUUUAUCUUGAAAUAAGAGAAGGAAAGAUAAAAAUUGCUAGUGUCACAGCAAAAUGCCCAAGAUGAACUCUGCACAGGGAGAACGUCUAUGAGUGUUUCUUGUUUUGAAUAGAGUUCUGUAGAACUGUGCUGCUCUGUGCUACUGCUGCUGCUGCUUUUUAGUUUUUUCACAAAACACAGAAACAUGUAAGGAAAGACCUUUUAACCGGGCCAAGUAAUGCUUCUGAAACGAUCAGUAUCAGCCAACAUCUGGGCUCAUAAGGCCGAUUCAGAAAAGAUAAAACGUCUGCAAUAACAAGACCAUCAUGAUUGGCACUCACGAUUUACACUGUGAUCUGCCAUUUUUAGAUCCAGUGGCUUUUAGAUCUGAGGUAAGGAAAGCUCCGGUUUCUCUGUGUCGAGAAAUGGAGGAAAAAAAGAGAAAAGGGGCAAAUGUAGACAAAGACGCAGUUACUGCCAGAUUGUAGCCCACAUAUUAGAAGAUAUGAGCAAAUAUGUGAAGCCACUGGGUAAAUUUCCACUCCGAAAAGAUUAGAGACAAUGCAAGAAUAAAAAUCCAGCAAUGCCAAAAGAGUCUAAGGGAAGUGCUUACUUCCCCCAAACAGUGCGAGAACUCGAGAUAGGGUUGGGGGACAUAGCCUCAAAUCAAUAUCACAAUAUAUUGAACAAGAAUAAAUGGACGAUAACUACUCUACAAGCUGCUCACUCACUCCCACAUUAACUUCAUCUACUUCAACCGCUGCUCCAGCCACUACAACUUUUGAACUGUCCUCCAUCUCCUCGCCUGUCUUUCCCUCUUUGUUACAGACUGGAUGGGGUGGAGUCACGUCUCUGACGAAGGACAGCGUCUUAAAGGGACAUGAGACCAUAGCCUACCUACACACAUCUAAAACAAGCUUUUAUUUGUUUGUUGACACAGAAUAUAUUGACAUGGGCAAAAUGACGUUGGUCAUUGUCGCAAAUUUUGGUAUUAGUAAAUUUUCGGUUUAUCGCCCAGCCCUAACUGGAGAUGUAUCACUGACUAUAGAUCUAGAAAGGAUUCAGAACUUUUGAAAUAUUUUUAUUGUAGUAGACACAAAAUGAGCUAGAACCUGCCAUCCACCUCUAGGGGGUUGUAGUUUUGUGUAAAGGAUACUGUCAUAAUGCUAAAAUACUCUACUACCUGGAUGUAGUGAGCUUGCAUUACUGCUAUCACACUGUGCUCUCCUACCGCACCCGAGCUGGCUGUGACCCCAAAGUCAUUGAAGUUCAGCUGUUUUUUAGCCCAUCCUCCCCC
Non-coding RNA from Xyrichtys novacula (pearly razorfish), 6498 nucleotides. The record is from the annotation of a GenBank genome assembly. Lineage: Eukaryota; Metazoa; Chordata; Actinopteri; Labriformes; Labridae.